RNAcentral lists this ribosomal RNA (200 nucleotides) under uncultured bacterium. Its description in RNAcentral is "partial 16S ribosomal RNA". It matches the Rfam family "Bacterial small subunit ribosomal RNA", at positions 28 to 219 of the family's 1533-position model. The record is from RNAcentral.
GACGAACGCUGGCGGCGUGCCUAAUACAUGCAAGUAGAACGCUGAAGGAGGAGCUUGCUUCUCUGGAUGAGUUGCGAACGGGUGAGUAACGCGUAGGUAACCUGCCUGGUAGCGGGGGAUAACUAUUGGAAACGAUAGCUAAUACCGCAUAAGAGUAGAUGUUGCAUGGACAUUUACUUAAAAGGUGCAAUUGCAUCACU